This 253-nucleotide ribosomal RNA is filed under the name uncultured bacterium. RNAcentral describes it as "partial 16S ribosomal RNA". It matches the Rfam family "Bacterial small subunit ribosomal RNA", at positions 524 to 776 of the family's 1533-position model. The record is from RNAcentral.
UACGGAGGGUGCGAGCGUUGUCCGGAAUCACUGGGCGUAAAGGGCGCGUAGGCGGCCCGGCAAGUCAACGGUGAAAGCUUGGGGCUCAACCCCGAGUCGGCCGUCGAUACUUCCGGGCUGGAGCACUGUAGAGGCAGGUGGAAUUCCGGGUGUAGCGGUGGAAUGCGUAGAGAUCCGGAAGAACACCGGUGGCGAAGGCGGGUCUCUGGGCCGAUAUUGACGCUGAGGAGCGAAAGCGUGGGGAGCGAACAGG